GGUCCUGACCUAGCUCAACUGGUAGAGCGUGGCGUUAACAUUGCCAGGGGUAGAGGUUCGAUUCCCACUGGGACCA
Merluccius polli (Benguela hake) is the source of this 76-nucleotide non-coding RNA. The record is from the annotation of a GenBank genome assembly. NCBI's taxonomy places the organism in Eukaryota, Metazoa, Chordata, Actinopteri, Gadiformes, Merlucciidae.